RNAcentral lists this ribosomal RNA (343 nucleotides) under uncultured fungus. Its description in RNAcentral is "eukaryotic LSU rRNA". The stretch from base 1 to 71 matches the Rfam family "5.8S ribosomal RNA", at positions 84 to 154 of the family's 154-position model. Lineage: Eukaryota; Fungi. The record is from RNAcentral.
GUGAAUCAUCGAAUCUUUGAACGCACCUUGCGCUCCUUGGUAUUCCGAGGAGCAUGCCUGUUUGAGUGUCAUUAAAUUCUCAACCUUUUCAGCUUUUGCUGAGUUGGAUUGGCGUGGAUAUGGGGGUUGCGGGCUUUCUCAGAAGUCGGCUCUUCUUAAAUGCAUUAGCGGUAACCUUUGUGGAUCAGCUUUGGUGUGAUAAUUAUCUACGCCAUGGUUGUGAAGCAGCUUUACAUGGGGUUCAGCUUCUAACCGUCCAUUGGCUUGGACAACUUCUGACAUUUUGACCUCAAAUUCAGGUAGGAUCUACCCGCUGAACUUAAGCAUAUCAAUAAGCGGAGGU